CUUGGUCAUUUAGAGGAAGUAAAAGUCGUAACAAGGUUUCCGUAGGUGAACCUGCGGAAGGAUCAUUAAAGAAUUGCCCCAUUUUUUGAAAUGGGUUCUAUUCCCAAACCGUGUAUACAUACCUUUGUUGCUUUGGCAAGCCGUCCUUCGGGCGCAGCUUCGGCUGAGAGCGCUUGCCAGAGGACCCCAACUCUUUUGUUUAGUGAUGACUGAGUACUAUAUAAUAGUUAAAACUUUCAACAACGGAUCUCUUGGUUCUGGCAUCGAUGAAGAACGCAGCGAAAUGCGAUAAGUAAUGUGAAUUGCAGAAUUCAGUGAAUCAUCGAAUCUUUGAACGCACAUUGCGCCCCUUGGUAUUCCGAGGGGCAUGCCUGUUCGAGCGUCAUUAUGACCACUCAAGCCUAGCUUGGUAUUGGGGUUCGCGGUCUCGCGGCUCUUAAAAUCAGUGGCGGUGCCAUCUGGCUCUAAGCGUAGUAAUUCUCUCGCUAUAGGGCACCGGUAGUUGCUUGCCAAAACCCCCCUAUUUCUCACGGUUGACCUCGGAUCAGGUAGGGAUACCCGCUGAACUUAAGCAUAUCAAUAAGCGGAGGA
Molecule: ribosomal RNA, 591 nt
Filed under: uncultured Rhizoscyphus
Lineage: Eukaryota; Fungi; Ascomycota; Leotiomycetes; Helotiales; Helotiaceae
Description: eukaryotic LSU rRNA
Rfam family: 5.8S ribosomal RNA (bases 232-385)
Source: RNAcentral